This 64-nucleotide transfer RNA is filed under the name Cavia porcellus (domestic guinea pig). It matches the Rfam family "tRNA". Rfam says of the family: Transfer RNA (tRNA) molecules are approximately 80 nucleotides in length. Their secondary structure includes four short double-helical elements and three loops (D, anti-codon, and T loops). The record is from Rfam by way of RNAcentral. Lineage: Eukaryota; Metazoa; Chordata; Mammalia; Rodentia; Caviidae.
GGGGAUUUAGCUCAGCGACAUAAGCGCCUGCCUUGCAAGUAGGCAGUCAUGAGUUUAAUCCCCG